AGGCCCAAUGCAAAGCAUAUGGAUUGAAAGUUGGGAAGAGUUACAGUUACUUGAAUAAAGAGAAGUUGGAUUCUUAGAACUGAAAAUAUCCACAAUGCUAAGAUCAUUUUUUUAUCUAUUCGAGCUAAUUCAGCAUUUUAAAAAUGGGAAUAGGAACUUUAUCUAUAUUUACCAGCUUCAACCCAAGGGGAGUAUGGAAAGACCUCUGAUAUUCCCCCCAGGUCACUUGCUGGCUUUGUGAUCUUGGGUAGAUCACAAUCUCUGAUUCUUGUUCUUCCCAGCUGCAAAAUGGGGAUAAUAUUGUCUCCCUAUCCGUAUCACAGAUGGUUAUGAAGAUUCAAAAAGAGAAGGGGUUUCACCGUAGUCUUGAUCUCCUGACCUCGUGAACCGCCCGCCUCAGCCUCCCAAAGUGCUGGGAUUACAAGCAUGAGCCACUGCGCCCGGCCUGGAAAACUUUCAAUGAUCACCCAAGACCAUACUAUCUGAAUACAGUGCAUUAAAGGAGGUGUAGAGACUGAAGAUCUGCAUUAAGCUGCAAGUACUUCAUCCCAAGUCCGUGUUCC
RNAcentral lists this long non-coding RNA (563 nucleotides) under Pongo abelii (Sumatran orangutan). RNAcentral's name for it is "lincRNA". The record is from RNAcentral. Lineage: Eukaryota; Metazoa; Chordata; Mammalia; Primates; Hominidae.